RNAcentral lists this ribosomal RNA (253 nucleotides) under uncultured bacterium. Its description in RNAcentral is "partial 16S ribosomal RNA". It matches the Rfam family "Bacterial small subunit ribosomal RNA", at positions 524 to 776 of the family's 1533-position model. The record is from RNAcentral.
UACGUAGGGGGCAAGCGUUGUCCGGAUUUAUUGGGCGUAAAGAGCGUGUAGGCGGCCAGGUAGGUCCGUUGUGAAAACUGGAGGCUUAACCUCCAGCUGUCGAUGGAAACCAUCUAGCUAGAGUCCGGAAGAGGAGAGUGGAAUUCCUGGUGUAGCGGUGAAAUGCGCAGAUAUCAGGAAGAACACCCGUGGCGAAGGCGGCUCUCUGGGACGGUACUGACGCUGAGACGCGAAAGCGUGGGGAGCGAACAGG